GCAGUGUCCGGCUUUCGGCUGUCGCAGAUGCACCUCCCCCGACUUCACACGCCAGCUUUCGUCUACAGUCGGCUCCGUUAGGCUCACUGCUCAAACACACCGAAUGUCACUGGCAAGCAGCACUGCAGACGUCAGCCCAGUGGAAGUCAUUCAAGACAACAUUUGGUAAGGAUGGAUUGAACGGUUUCUCAAGAGGCCCGUAAAGCAUGUCAUCAGAGAGCACCCAACACUUUAUUUCCCACAGUUAAGGGCAGUGCUGUAUGUAUCCUGUAUUCAGACAUGAAGAUGAAAAAUGGGUUCCUGUCUUUCAUAGCCCUUAUGCUGGCACCAUCUGAGGCCCUCGACAUAAGAAGACUGGAGGCCAUUGUUGUUACGAGGUGGAGAAAUGUGGCUGCAACAGAAAAGAGGAUUUGAAGAUAGUUAAAUCAAAGCUGAAUGAAGACAAGGCCUCAAAGGGA
Molecule: long non-coding RNA, 458 nt
Organism: Coregonus clupeaformis (lake whitefish)
Lineage: Eukaryota; Metazoa; Chordata; Actinopteri; Salmoniformes; Salmonidae
Exons: 4
Source: RefSeq, a predicted model, not a curated record